UUCCUGGUGGCUGAGACGGGAAAGAAUCUGCCUGCAAUGCAGGAGACCCAGGUUCGAUCCCUGGGUUGGGAA
This 72-nucleotide transfer RNA is filed under the name Ovis aries (sheep). It matches the Rfam family "tRNA". Rfam says of the family: Transfer RNA (tRNA) molecules are approximately 80 nucleotides in length. Their secondary structure includes four short double-helical elements and three loops (D, anti-codon, and T loops). Further hydrogen bonds mediate the characteristic L-shaped molecular structure. tRNAs have two regions of fundamental functional importance: the anti-codon, which is responsible for specific mRNA codon recognition, and the 3' end, to which the tRNAs corresponding amino acid is attached (by aminoacyl-tRNA synthetases). tRNAs cope with the degeneracy of the genetic code in two manners: having more than one tRNA (with a specific anti-codon) for a particular amino acid; and 'wobble' base-pairing, i.e. permitting non-standard base-pairing at the 3rd anti-codon position. Lineage: Eukaryota; Metazoa; Chordata; Mammalia; Artiodactyla; Bovidae. The record is from Rfam by way of RNAcentral.